Molecule: long non-coding RNA, 437 nt
Organism: Triticum aestivum (bread wheat)
Lineage: Eukaryota; Viridiplantae; Streptophyta; Magnoliopsida; Poales; Poaceae
Exons: 2
Source: RefSeq, a predicted model, not a curated record
GCUCACCGAUGAACUAGAAGAUUGUUUGUCCUGGGCACUCACACGAUUAAGGAAGAAAUUGGUUAUUCCUGGAUGUGCUAUGCAGAUCAAAGGCAACUGGAAGGAGAAUGCACAUCUCUUGUCAUUAUGUUGUACAAGCUCAUGUGGAAUUCAAUUUUAGGUUGUUUGAUAUGGUGCAAGGGCAUGCCCUAAAUGAGAGAAAGAACCAACACAAGGGGAGGAGCAGGGGUCAAACAACCGAUAUCUUGGCAAUCACUCUAUUUCUGACUUUCUAUGUUAUUGUUUUCAUUCGUUAUGAGGAAGGGGAUAACCAUCUGAUUCGGAUAUACAAAAUUGUGUAUUAAACCAUUUAAUCAUAUUGACCUACUGGACUAUUACCUUGUGUGAAGUUGCUUACCAUGGGCCUCUAUUCCUAUAGUAGACUUCUAAUUUCAUGA